This 253-nucleotide ribosomal RNA is filed under the name uncultured bacterium. RNAcentral describes it as "partial 16S ribosomal RNA". It matches the Rfam family "Bacterial small subunit ribosomal RNA", at positions 524 to 776 of the family's 1533-position model. The record is from RNAcentral.
UACGGAGGGUGCAAGCGUUACUAGGAAUCACUGGGCGUAAAGGGCGCGUAGGCGGCCUAGCAAGUCUGGUGUGAAAGCCCAGGGCUCAACCCUGGAAGGGCACUGGAAACUGUUAGGCUUGAGUUCCGGAGCGGAGGGGGGAAUUCCCGGUGUAGCGGUGAAAUGCGUAGAUAUCGGUAGGAAUACCGGUGGCGAAGGCGCCCCUCUGGACGGAAACUGACGCUGAGGCGCGAAAGCGUGGGGAGCAAACAGG